CCUACGGGUGGCAGCAGUGGGGAAUAUUGGGCAAUGGGCGCAAGCCUGACCCAGCAACGCCGCGUGAAGGAAGAAGGCCCUCGGGUUGUAAACUUCUUUUUAUAGGGAAGAGCAGAACACUGUACCUCUUGAUUAAGCUACGGCUAACUACGUGCCAGCAGCUGCGGCAAUACGUAGGUGGCAAGCGUUGUCCGGAUUUACUGGGUGUAAAGGGCGUGUAGCCGGGAAGACAAGUCAGAUGUGAAAUCCCGCGGCUCAACCGCGGAACUGCAGUUGAGACUGUUGGUCUUGAGUACCGGAGAGGUCAUCGGAAUUCCUUGUGUAGCGGUGAAAUGCGUAGAUAUAAGGAAGAACACCGAUGGCGAAGGCAGAUGACUGGACGGCAACUGACGGUGAGGCGCGAAAGCGUGGGGAGCAAACAGGAUUAGAUACCCCAGUAGUC
Molecule: ribosomal RNA, 442 nt
Filed under: uncultured bacterium
Lineage: Bacteria
Description: partial 16S ribosomal RNA
Rfam family: Bacterial small subunit ribosomal RNA
Source: RNAcentral